CCUACGGGUGGCAGCAGUGGGGAAUAUUGGACAAUGGGGGGAACCCUGAUCCAGCCAUGCCGCGUGUGUGAAGAAGGCCCUCGGGUUGUAAAGCACUUUCAGUGAGGAAGAACGCCUGGUGGUUAAUACCCAUCAGGAAAGACAUCACUCACAGAAGAAGCACCGGCUAACUCCGUGCCAGCAGCCGCGGUAAUACGGAGGGUGCGAGCGUUAAUCGGAAUUACUGGGCGUAAAGCGCGCGUAGGUGGCUUGAUAAGCCGGUUGUGAAAGCCCCGGGCUCAACCUGGGAACGGCAUCCGGAACUGUCGAGCUAGAGUGCAGGAGAGGAAGGUAGAAUUCCCGGUGUAGCGGUGAAAUGCGUAGAGAUCGGGAGGAAUACCAGUGGCGAAGGCGGCCUUCUGGACUGACACUGACACUGAGGUGCGAAAGCGUGGGUAGCAAACAGGAUUAGAUACCCGGGUAGUC
This 465-nucleotide ribosomal RNA is filed under the name Vreelandella stevensii. RNAcentral describes it as "partial 16S ribosomal RNA". It matches the Rfam family "Bacterial small subunit ribosomal RNA", at positions 338 to 795 of the family's 1533-position model. The record is from RNAcentral. Lineage: Bacteria; Pseudomonadati; Pseudomonadota; Gammaproteobacteria; Oceanospirillales; Halomonadaceae.